Mus musculus (house mouse) is the source of this 333-nucleotide long non-coding RNA. RefSeq annotates it as predicted gene, 53891. The transcript is spliced from 3 exons. Lineage: Eukaryota; Metazoa; Chordata; Mammalia; Rodentia; Muridae. The record is from RefSeq and is a predicted model, not a curated record.
UUCUCUUGCUCUUACAAUUGUUACACACCUUUUUUCCUUGAUCUUUCCUGAGUGUUAUAUGUAGCGCUUAAAUUCCUGCUGUAUAAAUUGGGAUUGGGCAUCUGAGAGUUACUUCUUUCUGGCAAGAAAGUUUUACUUUUCUGAAGAAGUCAACCUUGAGUAUCUCUCAAUGACAGUCACUCCAACAACUGAAGGAUGAGAAGAGACCUGCAGAUGACUAAUGUGCUCCAACUGACAGUGUAACAGGAAUUUGGCUGGUGCGUUGCCAGAGAAAGCCUGCUGAAUUUGGGGGCUGACAUAACAGGAUGAGUGGAAAGGAAGGCUGGAGGACAA